GAUGAGUUUCCUUGAAAGAUAUCAAGGAAAAUAGCAUCAUAAGAUAAUGUAUUUCUCCAUUAGGAGAAGAACGGACUCAAAUAAGAUUUAGUUCGUUAGAUGUUAUCUAUUACCCAUAUAUAGGAUAUAUACUUCUAAAACAAUAUGAUUGUCAAUUAGAAGAUCUUCCAAAAUUUUCAUAACUCCAUAAGAUGUAGUUGGAAAAGAAAGACAAAUCUUAAGCAUGUUAAAGAUUUGGGGUUGUGUGCUAACUAGCAAUAUUUGUUUGAUAACAAUCUUGUAGGAUAUCCUUAAAAUAACUUUUGGAUAUCGCUUCUAUAAACCAACUAACAAAGGUUGUUUUGUUAGGUAGUUCAUUGUAAUCCUACAAUGUGAUUUGCCUAAGAUGCAAAUGAACGAGAGAUAGAACUCAAAGAAUGGGUUCUUUGAGAGACAAGAAAGUAAUCAACAAAUAUAACAACCUAGUUCCUAUACCACAAGCUCCAAGGUAGUCGAUAAGAAUGAAAAUCCUUAUGACUACAUUGAGUGCAUAUACGAUAUAUACUCAAGAAAAUGGUAAAGUACCAUUUGACUCGAAAUAAUGAAACCUUCAAGCUAAUUGGUAGCUUAAGGUGACUACAAUCAAAGAGAAUGGUUGACUUUGAAGAAACCAUCUUUGAGAUAGUCUUGGUUUCAAUUAAUUCGAAGAUUGCUAGCUACAACUAAAUGGUGAUUCAAUGUUUUGACAUAAUAUGGGUUUCCGAAACCAUUAUUAAGAUAGUCUUGAUAAUAUAUGUCUAAAACUAUAAAUCACAAGACAUGUAAGUUGUAGAGAUCCAUCCAUCAUGGAUCUUAGCAAGUUAGUGGGAGCUAUUUGCAUUUUAUGAGAAAAGGAUCAAAUCGUUUGAUUUCUCAUAAAGAUGUAAAUGAAUCUUUUGUUUACUAGUUUUACAAAAGAUUAGUGGGAGUUAAUCAUGUUCGUAAAAUUUAAGUAUAUAUAUGAUAUAUUAAUUUUGGAAAUGAAAAGAAAGCUUCUUCGUUAAAGUUAUGACUUUAAGCAUUCUAUAAACGAUAGAAUGUAUAUGGGAGAUAUAGUCUAUAUACAUGGGAUGGAAAUCUAUAAUGAUAUAUUUCGUGAUAUAAUUGGAUUAUAUCAAUCCCUAAUAAUAGACAAUGGAUGCUAGG
Molecule: long non-coding RNA, 1164 nt
Filed under: Malus domestica (apple)
Lineage: Eukaryota; Viridiplantae; Streptophyta; Magnoliopsida; Rosales; Rosaceae
Description: long non-coding RNA (MDOM_LNC017528)
Source: RNAcentral